RNAcentral lists this ribosomal RNA (446 nucleotides) under uncultured bacterium. RNAcentral's name for it is "SSU rRNA". It matches the Rfam family "Bacterial small subunit ribosomal RNA", at positions 26 to 518 of the family's 1533-position model. The record is from RNAcentral.
AGAACGAACGCUGGCGGCAUGCCUAACACAUGCAAGUCGAACGAGACCUUCGGGUCUAGUGGCGCACGGGUGCGUAACGCGUGGGAAUCUGCCCUUAGGUACGGAAUAACAGUGAGAAAUUACUGCUAAUACCGUAUGAUGUCUUCGGACCAAAGAUUUAUCGCCUAGGGAUGAGCCCGCGUAGGAUUAGCUAGUUGGUGGGGUAAAGGCCUACCAAGGCGACGAUCCUUAGCUGGUCUGAGAGGAUGAUCAGCCACACUGGGACUGAGACACGGCCCAGACUCCUACGGGAGGCAGCAGUGGGGAAUAUUGGACAAUGGGCGAAAGCCUGAUCCAGCAAUGCCGCGUGAGUGAAGAAGGCCUUAGGGUUGUAAAGCUCUUUUACCCGGGAAGAUAAUGACUGUACCGGGAGAAUAAGCCCCGGCUAACUCCGUGCCAGCAGCCGC